NUUAGUUAAUGAGCUUGACAUAAGCAUAUGUUUUGAAAACAUAAGAUAGAAAUAAUUAUUCUAUUAACUUAUAACAAAUU
RNAcentral lists this transfer RNA (80 nucleotides) under Psychoda grisescens. RNAcentral's name for it is "tRNA-Ser". Lineage: Eukaryota; Metazoa; Arthropoda; Insecta; Diptera; Psychodidae. The record is from RNAcentral.